This 459-nucleotide ribosomal RNA is filed under the name uncultured bacterium. RNAcentral describes it as "partial 16S ribosomal RNA". It matches the Rfam family "Bacterial small subunit ribosomal RNA", at positions 338 to 795 of the family's 1533-position model. The record is from RNAcentral.
CCUACGGGUGGCAGCAGUGAGGAAUAUUGGUCAAUGGGCGGGAGCCUGAACCAGCCAAGCCGCGUGAGGGAAGAAGGUACAGCGUAUCGUAAACCUCUUUUGUCAGGGAACAAAGGCGGGGACUAGUCCCCGGUUGAGGGUACCUGAAGAAAAAGCAUCGGCUAACUCCGUGCCAGCAGCCGCGGUAAUACGGAGGAUGCGAGCGUUAUCCGGAUUUAUUGGGUUUAAAGGGUGCGCAGGCGGCCUGUUAAGUCAGCGGUCAAAGCCCGGGGCUCAACCCCGGCGAGCCGGUGAAACUGGCGGGCUGGAGUUGGAGAGAAGUACGCGGAAUGCGCGGUGUAGCGGUGAAAUGCUUAGAUAUCGCGCAGAACCCCGAUUGCGAAGGCAGCGUGCCGGCUCCACACUGACGCUGAGGCACGAAAGCGUGGGUAUCGAACAGGAUUAGAUACCCCUGUAGUC